RNAcentral lists this transfer RNA (64 nucleotides) under Uniomerus tetralasmus. RNAcentral describes it as "tRNA-Asp". Lineage: Eukaryota; Metazoa; Mollusca; Bivalvia; Unionida; Unionidae. The record is from RNAcentral.
AAAAAACUAGUUAAAAUCAUAACUUAAGUUUGUCAAGCUUGUAUUACCCGUGUGGUGUUCUUUU